This 215-nucleotide ribosomal RNA is filed under the name Escherichia coli. RNAcentral's name for it is "partial 23S ribosomal RNA". It matches the Rfam family "Bacterial large subunit ribosomal RNA", at positions 1 to 207 of the family's 2925-position model. RNAcentral also lists the same sequence under 3 other names. The record is from RNAcentral. Lineage: Bacteria; Pseudomonadati; Pseudomonadota; Gammaproteobacteria; Enterobacterales; Enterobacteriaceae.
GGGUUGUGAGGUUAAGCGACUAAGCGUACACGGUGGAUGCCCUGGCAGUCAGAGGCGAUGAAGGACGUGCUAAUCUGCGAUAAGCGUCGGUAAGGUGAUAUGAACCGUUAUAACCGGCGAUUUCCGAAUGGGGAAACCCAGUGUGUUUCGACACACUAUCAUUAACUGAAUCCAUAGGUUAAUGAGGCGAACCGGGGGAACUGAAACAUCUAAGU